Betta splendens (Siamese fighting fish) is the source of this 140-nucleotide small nucleolar RNA. Ensembl annotates it as small nucleolar RNA SNORD10. Its record names the gene SNORD10. The record is from Ensembl. NCBI's taxonomy places the organism in Eukaryota, Metazoa, Chordata, Actinopteri, Anabantiformes, Osphronemidae.
GUAUUGUGAUGAAAUCCAUGCGUGUCAACUGAUUCUGUAAACCCCUGGUGUGUUGUUGCUCUGGUUGGCGUUCUGCUAGCUUGAGUUGGCAAACAGUAGGGACCCAGAAGCAUGAUCAUACAUUUAAAACUUCUGAAUGC